UGUGCAAGUGGAUGUCAAGAUGGCCA
This 26-nucleotide non-coding RNA is filed under the name Homo sapiens (human). Lineage: Eukaryota; Metazoa; Chordata; Mammalia; Primates; Hominidae. The record is from RNAcentral.